RNAcentral lists this ribosomal RNA (224 nucleotides) under uncultured Actinomycetales bacterium. RNAcentral's name for it is "partial 16S ribosomal RNA". It matches the Rfam family "Bacterial small subunit ribosomal RNA", at positions 106 to 334 of the family's 1533-position model. Lineage: Bacteria; Bacillati; Actinomycetota; Actinomycetes; Actinomycetales. The record is from RNAcentral.
GUGAGUAACACGUGGGUGAUCUGCCUUGCACUCUGGGAUAAGCUUGGGAAACUGGGUCUAAUACCGGAUAGGAACCGUCUUUAGUGUGGUGGUUGGAAAGUUUUUCGGUGCAAGAUGAGCUCGCGGACUAUCAGCUUGUUGGUGGGGUAAUGGCCUACCAAGGCGUCGACGGGUAGCCGGCCUGAGAGGGUGUACGGCCACAUUGGGACUGAGAUACGGCCCAG